RNAcentral lists this long non-coding RNA (321 nucleotides) under Sorghum bicolor (sorghum). Its description in RNAcentral is "long non-coding RNA (SBIC_LNC008421)". The record is from RNAcentral. Lineage: Eukaryota; Viridiplantae; Streptophyta; Magnoliopsida; Poales; Poaceae.
UUCCAGUACAUUUCAUUUGUAAAUCUCUUAUGAUCAGUAGUAAUAUUUUUUUUUUCUUUCUUGCUAUAUACAUCUCUUAGAAAAGUAAAGUGGGCACACUUCACUAGGAAAGAAAUAUUUUUUUAUUAAGAGCACCAUACAUUCUUCGAACAACCUGUUUUUUCGAUGUCGAUGUUGAUCAGCUGUCUUUUGAGUUGGUCAAAAUGCAGUUGCAACUAUUUGGGCGAUUUUCCUGCUUAUUCAAGAUGUCAAGUCUUGCUGGUCGAAGAAGCUCAAGACAGUGUGUUACAUCAUAAUAUAUGGUGCUCGGGGACUAGCUGU